UUUAACAUAAUUGCAGUACAGGAAACUAGUUUUUGGUGCGCCAAUCAGCCACUUGACUCGCCCACAAAGGCGUCAGUUUGUAUCUCUGGUCAGUUGUCUUUACCAUACCUUCUCAUGUCUCAACAGAUGUUGCAGAUAUCUCAGUGGUAGCUAUGGAAACUGAUGGUGCUCAUUCCUUAAAUGCAGCUUUAAAAGAAAGGAAGCCAGUGUCUAUUGGUGAUAUCACUAGUAAUGCUGAAUAUAAACAGUCAAAUCUACUGGGUCCCUCUAACCUUGGGGCCCCUAGGCACAUGCUUACUGUGCCUAUUGGGUAAUCUAGCACUGCAAAUGCUGUAAGGAAUAAAUAAUUAAUGGAGUGAGGCACAUUUACUCAAAAUAUACUCAUGUCUGGGAGUAUAACCAACCAUUUGUCUCAUGAGUACUGAUCAGUUUGGAUUCUAUGGUUAGUGACAAAAUUAAAACUAAAAUGUAUUUGGUAAGGGAAUGAAAAUUGUUGCUCUAGGUGACUAAAACACAUGUAAACAUGAAGUAACUUUUCACUCAUCAAACAGAAAACUCUUUGGCAGACAAAUAAAAAAGACACUUUUUGUUUAUGCAUCAAAACAUUUUUCUAUAUCAGAGGAAAAAGUUGAAGAAAAACAACAGUACAGUAUGUACUUACCUAUAAAUUUGGAACAAGCUUCUACAGCUUGUUUGUCAGAAAUGACAUGAGAUGACAACUGGAUGUCCUGCUUAAGGUCAAACACUCCCUGAGCCACAAUCAAUGAACCCAAUGUCUUAGCAAUGCUGAAACAUUUUAAAUAUAACAUAACUCCCUAUAUUCAACAUCUAUCUAAAACAUCAUUCCCACAUUUUCCUACUGAUAAGACAACUCAUCAAGGGACAAGGGAGGAAUUCCAGGUCAUUUAUCGCUUCUGAUACAUAAACUUGGAUAAAAAUUUCAAUAUUUUAUUUUAUGGCCUACAGUUCAAAAGAUAUGUGACCUGCAAGAUAACAAAAAAAGCUAGUACAGAAGAGGGAAGGAGGAGGUUGUGUGUUAUUAACCUACAGCAGCAAGUAGCUUACAGCUGGAGCUGAACAGGUCUCUCAAAGAGACAAGUUUGUAAUUCUAUAACUGUGAGCAAAACAAAUCCUCAUUCUUACCUAGUGAUAUCACCAAUAGACACUGGCUUCCCUUCUUUUAAAGCUGCAUUUAAGGAAUGAGCACCAUCAGUUUCCAUAGCUACCACUGAGAUAUCUGCAACAUCUGUUAAGACAUGAGAAGGUAUGGUAAAGACAACAAAUGAAAAAACGGGGAGAAUAAUGCAACACAAGUGGACGUAGAGAAAGUAGCAGGAAAGGGCAAGAACAAAUAGAAAUGCUUGGGCACAAUUGCUCACAACUCAACUUAGAGGCAGAACAUUCAAAGUGAAUUUUGGCAUCAACAAAGACUUAUAAAAUUUCAAACCGAUUCAUUGUGCAAGAUUUAUUAAUACUGCAAAGAAUUUUCCUUAUUUUAUGAUUUCCUCUACGUGUUACUCCUCAAAUAUCUAUCAGUUUCACAGUACAGUAUAAUACCUCCACACUUCUCCUUAUCAACUACAGGUAUUAUUUUCACUCCUUGUAUACAUUCUAUUGUUACAGUACCUAUUUUAAUUUUAUAUUAUUUUUUAAUUGGUUAGCCAAGACAGUAGACAAUAAAUAGGUUAUAGACAGCUUAAUCCCUUACUAUUUUCAUGGAGGCCUUUCAUGAUGCCACACAGGAGUCCGCCACCACCCACAGACACAACAAUAGCAGCUGGUUUCUCAGGGCUUUGUUCCAGUAUUUCAUUUACUAAAGUACUAUGUCCUUCCCUAAGAUGAAAAAUAAUUAAUUUACUACAAAAUGGAUUCUAAGAGUUUUAUGACUAAGCAAAUAAAAGAAAAAAAAUCACUUUUUGGUGCAUGUAAGAAACUGGUGAAGACCAAUUGCAGUAUAGUUGUAACAAGUGAAGCAGAGAACUUUUUAUUUAUAAAUAGUAUUAUAAAUGGCAUGGUAAUGUCUUUUUUUAUUGUUUUACGAGUAAGGUUCCAGUCAUGGACAAGUAUCCUCAUUAUAGGAGGAAAUAAAAGGAAAUAUUCUUAAGGUAUUUUUGAGACGGCAUAGAAUUGAUUUUUAAAGAGGCAGAGCUCAAAGUGGAUUGGAAAGAUACGAGAAGGUAGUACUGUAGAAAGAAAGAUGCAGCCAACUCUUGGGAGAUUGAAGUGAAUGUGUUGAUCAGUAUUAUCAUAUUCAUAGUUACAAUACAUGGAUAUUAAUGAAUAAAUACCUGUACAAACAAAAAGAGGUUUAAUAGUUCACAAUACAUGUUCUUACCAUAUAUCAGGAUGAUCAAAUGGAUGCACUAAACAACAAGUUUCAUUUUGGGCAAGUUCUUCAGCUUUCUCAUGAGCAACAUUCCAUACAGGACCAUGUACCUGUACAAACACACAAAAAAAAAAAAAAUCUAAUUACAAUGUUCAAUAAUCUCUUGAGCACAAUGCCAA
RNAcentral lists this long non-coding RNA (2505 nucleotides) under Homarus americanus (American lobster). RNAcentral describes it as "uncharacterized LOC121854643". The record is from RNAcentral. Lineage: Eukaryota; Metazoa; Arthropoda; Malacostraca; Decapoda; Nephropidae.